AUUUCACAAUGGCUCCUUUCCCCUCCCCCUAAAAUUAGCAGGAGAGGGUUUUCCUCAGAUAUUUACUGUGAGAACCUGGUCUGGAUCCUGGAGGUAAAUCUCACAAAAUUGUGGGAGCCCUUCUAUGACUGUGUCCCCUUGGAAUUUUUAACUCAUAGAGUUGUGCACACUGAGUAUCCAGCAAUUCAUUAAUUAUAGUUCUGGUUUUCCUAUUCUGGUGCUGAUUCCUGUAGCAGUUGUUGCUUGUCAGUCUCUCCUUGGAAGAAGAGGAAUUCAUUAUGCAUUCAUUAUACCUUCUUGACCUGCAAGUCCAUUCCCCUGGAUUCUCUGGAUUCAGAAGCCCUGUUUGCUGACAUUUUAGGCUUCAGUUGACACUUUUGGGUUCCUGACCUGCUCACAGCACUCAGCACAUAUCCUGUGCUCGCCCAUCUCCAAGCCUGCUCCCCCUGUGUAUGGUGUGGUGGCCUUCAACCUUUUCACCGGUUAACCGCUGCUCAUCCGACAAGACUCCGGGGAGGACGUUACGUGGGUGUGUUUUUCUCCAAACACGUUAAAUCUGCUUUCUUAGCAUUUCACAGUGCAUCUGCUCUGACGUCUCUCUCCUGCUGUGUUAUGGAGGUAA
Molecule: long non-coding RNA, 622 nt
Filed under: Equus caballus (horse)
Lineage: Eukaryota; Metazoa; Chordata; Mammalia; Perissodactyla; Equidae
Description: lncRNA (ENSECAG00000053547.1)
Source: RNAcentral